Molecule: long non-coding RNA, 2781 nt
Organism: Ctenopharyngodon idella (grass carp)
Lineage: Eukaryota; Metazoa; Chordata; Actinopteri; Cypriniformes; Xenocyprididae
Exons: 4
Source: RefSeq, a predicted model, not a curated record
GGUCAGCAAGCAGCCCAGUGCCUGUUUGUUAGCGUGUAGGCUAGUUUGUGCUCUGUUGGAUGACUUAGCCUGCAGCUCUCUAAAGGGACGUCGAAAUCUCCCAACCAUAUACCUGCUUUAAUGCUGUCUGACAUGCCUGGGCCUCAAAGAACGAGCCUGCAGCUCAGGCUCCUUCGCUGAUUGGCUGAAUAACCUCACUACAAGGAAAGUGUAAGUGAGAAAUCUGUCAGGUUAAUGCUGUUUGGUGUCUCUUGUAAUUUCAGACAUAUAACAAUGACUUAAUCAGCAUUUAUGGAGAGGAACCGCAUCUGUGCUGAAUGGGACCUGUACAUUGUUAUGAAAAACAGAUGCAUUUAUGGCCACAGGGAGUUUCUCUCUCUCUCUCUCUCUCUCUCUCGCGGCAAGAUCUUAAGCAGAGAAAAGUGAAAGGUGGAGAAUUGGUGGAGGCGAACGGAGGUGAGCUAAUGGAUCAAAAUUACCCCCGUCUGAAAGUUUUGACGAACGCUGACGAAAUUGCUUUUCUUCCCCUCUCUCCCCACCCCCCACCCCUUCUCAAUAGGAGACGCAGACAGAGAAAUCCAUCUGUAACACAGGCAUUGUCAUCGCCUUGCAAUUUACACCCAUUCCUCUCAACAGUGGUUCUUGUGCUUGAUGGCGUGAUAAAUUAAUCUUUUUCUGUGCCACUGCGUCGAUUCUUUUAAAAGAAUACAUUAAGGGGCGUUAGAGACUUUUUUUUCUCCCGGAGUAAACAUUUUUUCUUUCUUUCUCUCUCUCAGUCACCAUGACAAAUCAUAUUCUCUGGAGAUGAAGAGAAAAGGCCAUGGAAAUAGGAAAAAUGAGAGAAGGAUGGAGGAACGGAGAGGCAGAAAGCCAUUUUGGAAAGCCGUCGUGCUAGCCGGAUCAGUCUGAGCGCUGCUUUGACAGAGUGCUCCGUGGAAACCAUCACACACACUGCCGAUGAUAGUUGUGGUUGUUGUUGAAGAAUUAAGUAUGACCUUCACUCUAAUCGUGUUAGACAUUGGAAGGAAAGCGUCUAAUCAUCAAUCACUCAGCAGUCAGCAGAGUGGAAAGAUCACCCAACUCAAACACAGCGGGGACAAACAACAGCAUGCGGGGCUGUGACUAUACCGGCCCACCUUUACCAUUACCGCCAGGGCUGUCCUUCGCUUAUAAUCUCCAAGCUAGUGCUGCUGUUUUAAUGGCCUCUACUGUGUGUGGCAAGAAAGUUUCUCAGCUGAAGCCAGUCAGAUUAGGUGGACACCAACCCUGUUUGCGCAUCAUGGGCUCCUACAUGAACAAAACUAUGCAAGGACAGUUCAAGGCAACACAGGAAGAGAUAGGACAGAGGGAAGAGAGGGGAAGGAGAUCAGGAAAGGACCUUGGGAUGGUACUUAAAGUCAGGUUGUGCUACAGUAUACACUACCGUUCAAAAUCCUGGGGUCGGUAAGUUGUUUUAAUGUUGAAAUAAGCCUCUUAUGCUUACCAUGACUACAUUUAUUUGAUCAAAAUUACAGUAAAAUAUUGUUUAAAUAUACUAUAUAUUUAGAAUAACUUUUCUAUGUGAAUGUAUUUUAAAAUGUAAAUUAUUCCUGUGACAUUUCUUAUUAUUAUCAAUGUUGAAAACAGUUGUGCUGCUCAAUAUUUUUGUGGAAACCGUGAUUUUUUUCUUUUUUUUUUUUUCUUUCAGUAUUCAAAUGGCCACGUACACACUAAAGGAGUGACACCGCAUUUAAAUGCCCCUAAAUUAUCGUUCCGUGUAUGCAUGGAAGACAACUUUAAUUAAAGGCGUUUUGCGUGUUUGGUAUCCGCUAUUCUGACCAAAGAAAUAUUACAGCCACGAAAGACUUGUUAUGUUCAGCAAUUUUAACUAAAGCACAGUCGACAGAGGCGUCGUGUUUUGCUUAUGCUUGGAAAGUCUGCUUCACAGAUCGUGCUCUUGCUGUGUUGCCAUGUUUACUAAUUAUAAGCCUUUUUGGGCUUGUUGUUUAAGCUUGGCUUGGUAAGUUUACAGAUUUAUUAAAGUGAGCAGGUGCGGGUCACGAUUUUUUGGUUUAUUGGUUUUUUGGUUUAUUAUUUCAGUUUAUUGUGGGCUUGUUCUUGUUCGCUGUUCUUUUAGCAAGAUCUGGCAACACGUAUACGUCCAGACUCGUACCACUUUCCCUGUGAUUUCCUGCACUGCACAGAAAGAAGAGAGAAACAUUUCUGAUGCACACUAAAAUAUGUCAUAAACAGUUUUUCAGUUUGUUUCCGUACACAUUACAUAGAAUUUUGGUAAAUGCGAUUGUCACCACCUGCAUUUUUCGGGAGUUAAUUCAGUUGUAGAAAGCAGUUGUCACUCCCUUAAAUUACUGAACUGUGUGUCUACAGAACAGGAUUAGGCAGUAAAAGUUGAACUGACAACCAAAUUUAGUUGCAGUAUGUACGUGGCCAUGAAUAGAAAGUUCAAAAGCAUUUAUACAUGUCUUUACUGUCACUUUUGAUCAAUUUAAUGCAUCCUAUCCGAUUUCUUAAUUUCUUGAAAAGAAAAAAUCUCAUUAACACCAAACAUUUGAACGGUACUGUAUAUAUCAUAGUGCUGCACACAAGGCAGUGAAUUGUUUGUUGCUGAAGCAUGAAGCCAUCGCAGUUCAAGAGACAUUUAUAAUUCAAUUGUCAAUUGUCAAUUUUUUUUUUUAAAUAUUGUUUUUACUUUUGUAUGAUAAACAAUUUUGGUACUAUUGUACCAAAUAUCCAAUAUAAAACCAGAACCACUGUGCAGCCUGGUGUGCAGUAAGAAUUGGG